GACGAACGCUGGCGGCGCGCCUAACACAUGCAAGUCGAACGAGCGAGAGGAGGUUUACUUUCUCAAGCGAGUGGCGAACGGGUGAGUAACGCGUGAGGAACCUGCCUCAAAGAGGGGGACAACAGUUGGAAACGACUGCUAAUACCACAUAAGCCCACGACCCGGCAUCGGGUAGAGGGAAAAGGAGCAAUCCGCUUUGAGAUGGCCUCGCGUCCGAUUAGCUAGUUGGUGAGGUAAUGGCCCACCAAGGCGACGAUCGGUAGCCGGACUGAGAGGUUGAACGGCCACAUUGGGACUGAGACACGGCCCAGACUCCUACGGGAGGCAGCAGUGGGGAAUAUUGCACAAUGGGGGAAACCCUGAUGCAGCGACGCCGCGUGGAGGAAGAAGGUCUUCGGAUUGUAAACUCCUGUUGUUGAGGAAGAUAAUGACGGUACUCAACAAGGAAGAGACGGCUAACUACGUG
RNAcentral lists this ribosomal RNA (466 nucleotides) under uncultured bacterium. RNAcentral describes it as "partial 16S ribosomal RNA". It matches the Rfam family "Bacterial small subunit ribosomal RNA", at positions 28 to 507 of the family's 1533-position model. The record is from RNAcentral.